GCGUCCGUAGCUCAGUUGGUUAGAGCACCACCUUGACAUGGUGGGGGUCGGUGGUUCGAGUCCACUCGGACGCACCAUUU
This 80-nucleotide transfer RNA is filed under the name Shimwellia blattae DSM 4481 = NBRC 105725. RNAcentral describes it as "tRNA-Val". It matches the Rfam family "tRNA". From Rfam's summary of the family: Transfer RNA (tRNA) molecules are approximately 80 nucleotides in length. Their secondary structure includes four short double-helical elements and three loops (D, anti-codon, and T loops). The record is from RNAcentral. Lineage: Bacteria; Pseudomonadati; Pseudomonadota; Gammaproteobacteria; Enterobacterales; Enterobacteriaceae.